Molecule: ribosomal RNA, 433 nt
Filed under: uncultured bacterium
Lineage: Bacteria
Description: partial 16S ribosomal RNA
Rfam family: Bacterial small subunit ribosomal RNA
Source: RNAcentral
AACGAACGCUGGCGGCAGGCCUAACACAUGCAAGUCGAGCGAGGACUUCGGUCCUAGCGGCGGACGGGUGAGUAACGCGUGGGAACGUGCCCUUUGCUUCGGAAUAGCCCUGGGAAACUGGGAGUAAUACCGGAUGAGCCCUUUGGGGGAAAGAUUUAUCGGCGAAGGAUCGGCCCGCGUUGGAUUAGGUAGUUGGUGGGGUAAUGGCCUACCAAGCCGACGAUCCAUAGCUGGUUUGAGAGGAUGAUCAGCCACACUGGGACUGAGACACGGCCCAGACUCCUACGGGAGGCAGCAGUGGGGAAUCUUAGACAAUGGGGGAAACCCUGAUCGAGCCGUGCCGCGUGAGCGAUGAAGGCCUUAGGGUUGUAAAGCUCUUUCAGCUGGGAAGAUAAUGACGGUACCAGCAGAAGAAGCCCCGGCUAACUCCGUG